AGAUGGCGACCGGCGCACGGGUGAGUAACACGUAUCCAACCUGCCGAUAACUCGGGGAUAGCCUUUCGAAAGAAAGGUUAAUACCCGAUGGCAUAAUUAGACCGCAUGGUCUUAUUAUUAAAGAAUUUCGGUUAUCGAUGGGGAUGCGUUCCAUUAGGCAGUUGGUGAGGUAACGGCUCACCAAACCUUCGAUGGAUAGGGGUUCUGAGAGGAAGGUCCCCCACAUUGGAACUGAGACACGGUCCAA
Molecule: ribosomal RNA, 247 nt
Filed under: uncultured bacterium
Lineage: Bacteria
Description: partial 16S ribosomal RNA
Rfam family: Bacterial small subunit ribosomal RNA
Source: RNAcentral